Molecule: small nuclear RNA, 108 nt
Organism: Suricata suricatta (meerkat)
Lineage: Eukaryota; Metazoa; Chordata; Mammalia; Carnivora; Herpestidae
Source: Ensembl
AUUCUCUUAUAGGCAGCACAUAUACUAAAAUUGGAAUGACAUAGAGAAAAUUAGCAUGGCCCCUGGGCAAAGACAACACAUUCCAUAUUUUAAAAAGAAGAAGUAGGA